GUUUUGGCUUCACUUUUCAGGGCUUGUGCGGCACGCUUGGGCUGGCCACAAUAAAAGGCCACUCUAAAAUGUGCAGUUUCACUGUAUUCGGGGGUCCCCAAAUAUAAACACAUUCCCCCAAAAUACGAAAGAAUUUUACGUCAAAACAGAAUGGGGUGAGAGUUCAUCGUGCUCACAAAUGAAAGAUUCACAUCCGGCCCAGUAUGCUGCUGUCACAGUUAAGUCAUUACAUGAUCUACGGUCGCGUGCAGCGCUUGUUGCCAUUUGAAGCAUUUGGGACGUUGGUCAUAUCAACCGUCAAAACUAAGGAGUUAUUCAGCAUUCGGGUGAGUAAAGGUUUGCUAGUUUAAUGUUUGCUGAACGCCAACAAUAUAUGUGCAUAAAUCAUUUUACAUAAUGUUAAAAAUGGCCACCUGUAGUUAGCAAGGUUAUCUUUCGAUUUUAAUUCAUGUUUACUAAUCGUGCUAUUGCUAAAUGUAGCCCAGCUCGACAAUAUUGACCACUUCUAGCUAACCAUUUUGCUAGUUGUAUUAGACUCAUUUUUUAUUUUUUUUAAUAAAUCCUCACUAUAAUCACAUCAAUAAGUUGUACAGUAAUAUGUAGCCAACGUUUGGUAAAUACAAUUAUUUGCUGCUGUGGCUAGUUUUCUAUGCCUGGAUGAUGAUUAUUAUAGGGCUAAUGGAUAGUAUCAAUAAUGGCUUGGUAACUUAGCAAACUAUGUUUAUUAGCUAGCUCUUCUGUUAAAGUUAGUAUCAUGUUAAUUACAGUAGCUGAUUGAUUUGUACUAGUAAAUAAUGUUAAACAUUAACUGGUUGGCCAAGAUUCUGGUUGGUCAGUUUUUCUGCUGAAGGAUCACCCAAGGGUACUUACAGUCAGAUGUGCACAUACAGUAGCAUCCACACACCAUGUUCAGUGGGGAGAACAAGUAUUUGAUACACUGCCGAUUUAGCAGGUUUUCCAACUUACAAAGCAUGU
Esox lucius (northern pike) is the source of this 975-nucleotide long non-coding RNA. NCBI's taxonomy places the organism in Eukaryota, Metazoa, Chordata, Actinopteri, Esociformes, Esocidae. The record is from Ensembl.